Molecule: ribosomal RNA, 253 nt
Filed under: uncultured bacterium
Lineage: Bacteria
Description: partial 16S ribosomal RNA
Rfam family: Bacterial small subunit ribosomal RNA
Source: RNAcentral
UACGAAGGGGGCUAGCGUUGCUCGGAAUUACUGGGCGUAAAGGGCGCGUAGGCGGCACUGUUAGUCAGGCGUGAAAGUCCUGGGCUCAACCUAGGAACUGCGCUUGAUACGGCAGAGCUAGAGGAUGGAAGAGGCUCGCGGAAUUCCCAGUGUAGAGGUGGAAUUCGUAGAUAUUGGGAAGAACACCGGUGGCGGAGGCGGCGAGCUGGUCCAUUACUGACGCUGAGGCGCGACAGCGUGGGGAGCAAACAGG